CCUCCUGUUAACUUCCAACUUCGAAAAAAACUGUACAUGUUGUGUGUACGCUUGCACGAAGACCCAAUUACAGCGCCACACAACAGUUUGAAAUAGAAACAGCCAGUAGCACAAAAAUCGCUCGAGGAAAGUAGCUUCAAAUUAUGGCGGAACAAAAUAUAACAAACGAGGAUUCGAAACGUUCAAAUAAAAACACAAGAUUCAAACAACUAAAAGAAAAGUUUCAAGGUUCCUUGAAAUUUAGUUUUGUAUUUUUUAGUUUAAUUCAUUUAGCGACUAUUGUUAUUGCUGCCGUGUAUUACGACAAAUGUCCCGUCGAACCUGACAUACCUAAGUAUCUGCUUUGUUUGGGCAUUCUGGGCAUGGUCACCAAACUGAUAAGCCUUUUCAAAAAUUUCUUAAUAAAGCACAUAAGUGUGUCCCCGAUCUUAUCAUUUAUUUUAACAGGAGAGUUAACAGUAUUGAUUGUUGGAUCAUACUACGUUUACAGGGAAUAUGAACCCAACUAUGAUCCCGACAGUGGCGAACUGUAUUGUAACAAGACCUUGUAUUUAUUUGCGUUUAUUUAUAUGACAAUUAUUUAUUCUUUAAUAUUCCUAAUAAUAACAAUAGUGGGAUGCUUCGUGCUCAGUUUAGUGCUGCUUGACAAGUACGGUCCUCAUGAUAUUGAGGAAGAUGUCGGGGAGAUGGUGGAGAUUCCAAUUCCAACAGAACCAGGAACUGACGCCAUAAAACAAUAAAAAUAUUCAUACCAAUGUACAUUUUCUUUAAAUAAACAAAAAUCGAUAAAUGUACUUCCAUUAAUAUCCAUUUCGUGUAAACAAAAGCUUAAAAAAGCUCAGGAAGUGUCGCAUGGUAAAAAUAUUGACUGACCUACAAUACGAAUAAAUUCGUUGUAUGAGCAUGAGUUUAACUUUGUUUCGCUUGGCUUAUGCACGCCCACAAAUGGCGCCAGGAAUGCUAGUAAACAGGACGAAGGUCGGGCGCGUUAGUAGUCUCCAAGCAAUGUGAGGGAAUGCCCCAAUACUUCGAGAUGUGGUGAUCCCUUACUUUUGAGAGUGAGUAAUGGACGAACAACAUCAAGGUGAUGAUGAGACGAAUAAAAAGGCGGUAGUAAAGAGCUCCAUAAAAAAACUGAAGAAGAAGUUUGUACCUGGAUUGAAAUACACUCUUUUAAUAUCUGCAGCUAUAAAUUUUUCUAUGCUGGUAGUUGGGUGCUUAAACGUUCAUAAAUGCCCCGUCAACAAAGAUAUUCCGCUGUUCCUAAUAGCCACUGGUGAGGUGCUAUAGGACUAAUGUCUAAAUUUGUAAGUUACAUACGGGGAAGAUUAUCGAAGCACGUCCAAGUCUUGUACAUCGAAUCGGCAUUGUACAGUGUCGAGACAAUAUUUUUUUGCUUGGGGACUUAUUGGGUGUACAAAGCAUUUCAGCCCAGUUACGAUCCUUUAGAUGGAAAAUUGUAUUGUAACAAAACCGCGUAUUUGUUUGCAUUUAUCUACAUAACGUCAUUUUAUGCCAUAAUUAUCGCAAUUUUGGCGGGAUUUUGUUGCUUCAUAUGUUGUGCACUGUGUCUGUUCGCUGUGGCUACGAGAACCGGCAGUUCCGAAUCUCCGCACGUAAACGUUGAAGAAACUGAAACGUCAACCCUUAAGGUGGAAGACCAAAAUGUCGAACAACCCUUAGUCACAGCGAAUCCAUAAAAAUCACAAGUUUGCGUGAUACACUGGUGUAAUUUAUUAAAUGAUAUUGUUAUAAAAAAUUGGAUUGUAUUCUGGAAUCUUACUUCUUCUAUUAAACACAUUCUGAUCUAAGCCCAAAUAACUUAGCAAACAAUUGCGAGCACAAAGGAUUUAAUAUCCGUCUGUAGUUGAUACUGUAGAUGCCAACUAUUUAGAUUGCCACUCUGAACAAUAUGCCAAACCUAAAUUCAAAACUAAAAAUAUAAAUGAGCACCGUACGAAAAAUAUAAAUAGAGAAACAAGUAAACGCGCUGCUUCGCAAAGUGGCGCAUGUGUAAUUAAAGUGUAAAGCUGUUUGAAAAAUCUGCCAAUAUGUCAAAUGGAAAAACACUAGAAGCUGUUAUCGAGGUAGAAAAACAAGAUAAUGAAAAGAACACACAAUCGGAAGAGAGCGAGGCUCUGGAAAAAGUCAAAUUGAAAGCACCGCCUGGAAUAAACGCUUCGCUAGUUUUACUAUAUGCUAUUUUCUUCUUCAUGUUCGUUAUAGGAUGGGUGAAUCUGAAUAACUGCUCCGUCAGUAGACUGAUACCAAUAUACCUAAUUGUGGCAGGAUUUGUAGGUGCACUAACUAAAAGUAUUAGCGGAACAACGGAUAAGCACCUAUUUAAUGUGGUCAUUGCUUUGGCGAUCUUUUACAUCGUAUGGCACUGCUUAGGAGCAUAUUGGGUCUAUAAAGAAUACCAACCGAACUAUGAAGAAAGAGCUGGAGAGAAAUAUUGCAACAGAACGACAUACUUGUUGGCAUUUUGGAUCCUAACAAUACAACACACUAUACUUGUUUUUAUCAUCCUAUUAUCUGGCUGUAUAAAGCUAAUGAAAGGUGACUUUGUGGCAUCAAAAUAAAAAAUUGCUUCAAG
Molecule: RNA transcript, 2596 nt
Organism: Tribolium castaneum (red flour beetle)
Lineage: Eukaryota; Metazoa; Arthropoda; Insecta; Coleoptera; Tenebrionidae
Gene name: transmembrane protein 272
Exons: 10
Source: RefSeq, a predicted model, not a curated record